GUGCUUGCUUCAGCAGCACAUAACUAAAAUUGGAACCAUAAGAGAUUAGCACAGGCCCUGCACAAGGAUGACACACAAAUUCUUGAUGUGUUCCAUAUUUUU
Small nuclear RNA from Sapajus apella (tufted capuchin), 102 nucleotides. The record is from RefSeq and is a predicted model, not a curated record. Lineage: Eukaryota; Metazoa; Chordata; Mammalia; Primates; Cebidae.